UAGUAUCUGAAAAUAAUCUUUAUCAUUUUCUUAUGUUCCUGUGGGGUGACUGGAUUAUUUCUUCUAUAUUUUUGCCAGGCAAUGAAAAACUAUCAGCAUGGCUACACUUCCAUGUUGGAGCUUCAGUUGAUAUGACCAAAAAUGAGUCCAGAUACACUGACGUAUGCCAUAAUUCUACACUACAAUCCAUUGCCUGCCAACAACUCUAGCAUCGUGAGAACUCAUCUGUCAUGCCAAUGAAACGUUCUUAUCUCAGAGUAUUGACAGUGGUCACCCAUCAUCUCUACAUCAAGGAGUGACAGAGGAAUAAUGCAGGAUGCUGGAAAAGACAUAGACAAAGUAUACCCAAGGGCUCAAAGUUCC
RNAcentral lists this long non-coding RNA (363 nucleotides) under Vulpes vulpes (red fox). Its description in RNAcentral is "lncRNA (ENSVVUG00000006372.1)". The record is from RNAcentral. Lineage: Eukaryota; Metazoa; Chordata; Mammalia; Carnivora; Canidae.